GCGCCUGUAGUUCAGCCAAGUAGAACAGGGACCCUUUAAGCCUCAAGUCGUGGGAGCGAAGCCCACCGGGCGCGCCA
This 77-nucleotide transfer RNA is filed under the name Nitrososphaerota archaeon. Its description in RNAcentral is "tRNA-Lys". It matches the Rfam family "tRNA". Rfam says of the family: Transfer RNA (tRNA) molecules are approximately 80 nucleotides in length. Lineage: Archaea; Thermoproteati; Nitrososphaerota. The record is from RNAcentral.